CCUACGGGGGGCUGCAGUGAGGAAUAUUGGUCAAUGGACGAGAGUCUGAACCAGCCAAGUAGCGUGAAGGAUGACUGCCCUAUGGGUUGUAAACUUCUUUUAUAUGGGAAUAAAAUGUUCCACGUGUGGGAUUUUGUAUGUACCAUAUGAAUAAGGAUCGGCUAACUCCGUGCCAGCAGCCGCGGUAAUACGGAGGAUCCGAGCGUUAUCCGGAUUUAUUGGGUUUAAGGGGAGCGUAGGUGGAUUGUUAAGUCAGUUGUGAAAGUUUGCGGCUCAACCGUAAAAUUGCAGUUGAAACUGGCAGUCUUGAGUACAGUAGAGGUGAGCGGAAUUCGUGGUGUAGCGGUGAAAUGCUUAGAUAUCACGAAGAACUCCGAUUGCGAAGGCAGUUCACUGGACUGCAACUGACACUGAGGCUCGAAAGUGUGGGUAUCAAACAGGAUUAGAUACCCUUGUAGUC
Molecule: ribosomal RNA, 460 nt
Filed under: uncultured bacterium
Lineage: Bacteria
Description: partial 16S ribosomal RNA
Rfam family: Bacterial small subunit ribosomal RNA
Source: RNAcentral